AAGUAAAAGUCGUAACAAGGUUUCCGUAGGUGAACCUGCGGAAGGAUCAUUAUCGAGUUUAAACGCGCCUGAGCUGGCUUCGGCAAGUGCUCGGCGCCUCGUCCACUCAACCCCUGUGCACCUGAGAGGUGCGGCUGGGUCGAAAGACCCGCCGCCGCGCCUCGACCCUUCACAUACCCCAUACAAAGUUCAGUAGAAUGUAACGAUCGCUUCGGCGAUGAAACGAAAUAUAACUUUCAACAACGGAUCUCUUGGCUCUCGCAUCGAUGAAGAACGCAGCGAAAUGCGAUAAGUAAUGUGAAUUGCAGAAUUCAGUGAAUCAUCGAAUCUUUGAACGCACCUUGCGCUCCUUGGUAUUCCGAGGAGCAUGCCUGUUUGAGUGUCAUGAAUACCAUCACCCUCCGGUGCUUUCGAGCGCUCGGUUGGCGUGGAUUUGGGGAUCUGCUGGCCUUCGCGGGUCGGCUUCCCUUGAAUGCAUUAGCGGUCGCUUGGUUCUGACCACGGUGUGAUAACUAUUUCACCUUGGGAUGGGCCGUCAAGGCGUCGCUCACAGCCGUCUUCGGACACCUAUUGUUAAUCUGGCCUCAAAUCAGGUAGGACUACCCGCUGAACUUAAGCAUA
RNAcentral lists this ribosomal RNA (621 nucleotides) under Tubulicrinis cf. subulatus UC2023232. RNAcentral describes it as "eukaryotic LSU rRNA". The stretch from base 232 to 385 matches the Rfam family "5.8S ribosomal RNA". The record is from RNAcentral. Lineage: Eukaryota; Fungi; Basidiomycota; Agaricomycetes; Hymenochaetales; Tubulicrinaceae.